Acinonyx jubatus (cheetah) is the source of this 2510-nucleotide long non-coding RNA. RefSeq lists it as uncharacterized. The record is from RefSeq and is a predicted model, not a curated record. The transcript has 2 exons. NCBI's taxonomy places the organism in Eukaryota, Metazoa, Chordata, Mammalia, Carnivora, Felidae.
GGUUUUGAACUCUUUUUUUGUUUUGGUUUGGUUUUUAUUUUUUUGUUUUGGUUUAAGAUUUUAUUUUUAAGUAAUCUGUACACCCAACGUGGGUCUUGAACUCACAACCUUGAGAUCAGGAGUCACACGCUCCAUGCAUGCUCCAUCGGCUGAAGCAGCCAGGCACCCCACGGUUUUGAACUCUUAAAGGGAAAAGGUCUUAGUGGCUCUCUUUGUCCCUGCAUCUGGGUGGGAUUUGAAAAGGAUGCUGUGCUGCUUGGCAAGAGCUGCCUCUCCCCUUAAAGCUGGAGGUCUGUGUGGAACAUGGGCCAUCCACCAGGCAGACAGCGCAUACGCCACCAGACUUAUUCAGAACAAGGAAACAGAAGAAGAAAUAGCAAAGCAAAACAGCCCCCAUAUCCCUUUAGAAGAGUGGGGAGGUUGUGGCUGCUUAUCAUGGGACAUCAGGAGGGACCCGCAGCACUUUAGGCCCAGAACCUGUUCUCACAGAGUAUCUGUCUCCCUCCACAUAAAGACCCAGUGAGCUCUUACUUCCACCUGUUGGCCACUCUUUAAGUCUUUAUUAGGACCAGCCUUUUAAAGUGUGACCGUGUUGCAUUCAGCUCCUGAUAGCCACGUGAAAGCAGUCUCAUGGCCUAGACUUUAGGAGCUGCUUGUGAAUCAUGCUUCUGAGGAAAUAGGCUUCUCUGUUUAUUAUGAAGUCUGGGUUUUUAUAUGAACUUGGUAGAUACAGUAACAGGAAGAAACACACAAUUUGCCACCUAGUUUUGAGGGGGUACAGGUAACUUAUUUGACAUCACAUCACCCGUCACAUGUCAUAAGUGGCCACAGCGGCAUCUUUUAGGCCCUUGAGAUUCUCUGCUUCCUAGGGAGGGUCUGUGCCCUCCAGAAGCUUGAAGUCUAGCAGGGAAAACAGACGCUCCCUUUCCUGUAUUUAGGUUCUAUUUUAAGAAAGUACCACUGCAGGAACAGAGGGCAUGGUUGGACUCUGCUGUGACCAUCUGUCUUGUAGCAGGACUUGCUCUUAUCCCAUCAGAUGCUGGUGGUAGAUGCUUUCCUGAGAUCCAUUCUGUUGCAGUGUAGAAUUUUCCUGUGAUUAAGCAGAAGGUAAUAUGUUUCUUUUCAAAACUCAAAAAAAUAAAAAAUAGUUCCUUGCUCUUUCUGUGUUAGAGUUUACAUAUCCAAGUUUUCUGGCUCUGAAUGGAAUUAUCUGGUUGAAUAACUGACACCUCUUUUUUUUUUUCAAAAAUGAUUUCUCUCAUUCGCUUAAUCUGUAGUCAUUUGCAAAGGUGAGAAGAGCUUCCUUAGUUUUCUUCCCGCUGGCUGAUGGCUGAAAGCCUUCUUUUUAUUAUUGUUACUUUUCUUAAUGUUUAUUUUUGAGAGAGAGAGCACAAGCAGGGGAGAGGCAGAGAGAGAGAGAGGGGGAUAGAGGAUCUGAAGCGGGCUCCUGACGGCAGAGAGCCAAUGCGGGGCUCGAACCUGCGAACCACGAGAUCAUGACCUGAGCAGAAGUCAGACGCUUAACCGACUGAGCCACCCAGCACCCCGGAAAGAUUUCUAAUGUUCAAAAAUGAAUUUAUAGUUGGUUUGCCAUUUUAUUGUAUAAAAUAGGAUCCGGUGGUGCCAGUCUUUUCGCCAUCUCGUGUUAAACUUGCAUGGCAUCUUUUACUAUCGUGGAUAUUUAAUAGCUGGGCAUUCUGAAAAUCUAGCUUUAUCCUUAAUUUUCCACAUUCCAAAAAAGCUUUCGAUUGCCUAGUGUAAAUUCAUGGUGCCAUGAAUUAUGUAACUUGAAGCCAUUCAACCCUGAACGUUCGCAGCUCUGCCAUUAGCGGAUUCCUUGAGAGCAUUGUAAGUUUUCUGUUUGAUGACAGCGAUGAAGUUAAUUAGUCUUCUAGGUUCUGAAGGCUUGUGGAUGUAGACCCAGUUGGAAGCUUUUUUGUUCUAGGGAUGUGAAGGCCUUUUGGAUGUUAAUUGAUCUUUCCAUCUGUCCUUUUUAUUGAGUGAAACUCUGAGCAGUGGAUUCGAGGUUGUUCAAAGACACCCUCUUUUGCAUGUGUCACACGUGGCUCUGAGGCCGAAUUGGCCAUGUGUGUAUUUUUGUAGCUGUCCCUUCAAACACAUUCUCUCCUUCAACUUGUCUUUUUUUUUUUUUUUUUUUUUAAGAUUUUAUCUUUAAGUAAUCUCUGUACCCAAUGUGGGGCUCAAACUCACGACCCAAAGAUCAAGAGCUGCACGCUCCUCCCAACAGAGCCAACCAGGCACCCCAACUUAUCUGUGUUGUAAGGAGACACACAUGGGGUGCCUGGAUGGCUCAGUCGGUUAAGCAUCCGACUUUGGCUCAGGUCAUGAUCUCGCGGUCCGCGAGUUCGAGCCUCGCGUCAGGCUCUGUGCUGACAGCUCAGAGCCUGGAGCCUGUUUCAGAUUCUGUGUCUCCCUCUCUUUCUGACCCUCCCCCGUUCAUGCUGUCUCUCCCUGUCUCGAAAAUAAAUAAAUGUUUAAAAAAAAAUUUU